AGUGAACGCUGGCGGUAGGCCUAACACAUGCAAGUCGAACGGCAGCACAGUAAGAGCUUGCCCUUACGGGUGGCGAGUGGCGGACGGGUGAGGAAUACAUCGGAAUCUACUUUUUCGUGGGGGAUAACGUAGGGAAACUUACGCUAAUACCGCAUACGACCUACGGGUGAAAGCAUGGGAUCUUCGGACCUUGCGCGAUUGAAUGAGCCGAUGUCGGAUUAGCUAGUUGGCGGGGUAAAGGCCCACCAAGGCGACGAUCCGUAGCUGGUCUGAGAGGAUGAUCAGCCACACUGGAACUGAGACACGGUCCAGACUCCUACGGGAGGCAGCAGUGGGGAAUAUUGGACAAUGGGCGCAAGCCUGAUCCAGCCAUACCGCGUGGGUGAAGAAGGCCUUCGGGUUGUAAAGCCCUUUUGUUGGGAAAGAAAAGCAGCAGGUUAAUACCCCGCUGUUCUGACGGUACCCAAAGAAUAAGCACCGGCUAACUUCGUG
This 492-nucleotide ribosomal RNA is filed under the name uncultured bacterium. RNAcentral describes it as "partial 16S ribosomal RNA". It matches the Rfam family "Bacterial small subunit ribosomal RNA", at positions 29 to 507 of the family's 1533-position model. The record is from RNAcentral.